This is a long non-coding RNA of Pecten maximus, 1130 nucleotides long. RefSeq lists it as uncharacterized. The record is from RefSeq and is a predicted model, not a curated record. The transcript has 2 exons. Lineage: Eukaryota; Metazoa; Mollusca; Bivalvia; Pectinida; Pectinidae.
UGUAAUGUACACCUACACGUGUGUACCUGUGUACUGUACAUCUACACGUGUGUACCUGUGUAAUGUACAUCUAUAAAUGUGUACUUGUUUAAUGUACAUCUAUAAAUGUGUACCUGUGUAAUGUACAUCUAUAACUGUGUACCUGUGUAAUGUACAUCUACACGUGUGUACCUGUGUAAUGUACAUCUAUAAAUGUGUACAUGUGUAAUGUACACCUACACGUAUGUAUCUGUGUAAUAUACAUUUAGGUGUGUACCUGUGUAAUGUACAUCUAUAAUUGUGUACCUGUGUAAUGUACAUCUACACGUGUACCUGCGUACUAUACAUCUACACAUGUGUACCUGUGUAAUAUACAUCUAUAAAUGUGUACCUGUGUAAUGUACACCUACACGUGUGUACCUGUGUAAUAUACAUCUAGGUGUGUACCUGUGUAAUGUACAUCUAUAAUUGUGUACCUGUGUAAUGUACAUCUACACAUGUGUACCUGUGUAAUAUACAUCUAUAAAUGUGUACCUGUGUAAUGUACAGCUACACGUGUGUACUUGUGUAAUGUACACCUACACGUGUGUACCUGUGUAAUAUACAUCUAGGUGUGUACCUGUGUAAUGUACAUCUAUAAUUGUGUACCUGUGUAAUGUACAUCUAUAAAUGUGUACAUGUGUAAUGUACACCUACACGUGUGUACCUGUGUAAUAUACAUCUAGGUGUGUACCUGUGUAAUGUACAUCUAUAAUUGUGUACCUGUGUUAUGUACAUCUACACGUGUUGACCUGUGUAAUGUACAUCUACACAUGUGUACCUGUGUAAUGUACAUCUAUAAAUGUGUACCUGUGUAAUGUACAACUACACAUGUGUUCCUGUUUAAUGUAUAUCUUCAUGUGUGUACCUGUGUAGGGUACACAUCUAAUAUGUCUAACAUCCAUAUAUGUACCUCACCUGUACUAAAGGUACCUGUAUAAUGUAUGUACAUGUGUAAUUUACAUGUGAAUUGUGUUUCCUUCCCUUCAUAUAACAUGUGUUGUGAAAUGUUUGUGUUUAUAAUUAAUUUCAUAUAUGUUUUAGGUGUUCAUUACCUUCUGCAAAUGAUUUUUGUUGACUCUGUGCAAUAAAGACAUGACUUUUGAGAAAAA